Molecule: ribosomal RNA, 942 nt
Filed under: Salmonella enterica subsp. enterica serovar Newport
Lineage: Bacteria; Pseudomonadati; Pseudomonadota; Gammaproteobacteria; Enterobacterales; Enterobacteriaceae
Description: partial 23S ribosomal RNA
Rfam family: Bacterial large subunit ribosomal RNA
Source: RNAcentral
AGACCCGAAACCCGGUGAUCUAGCCAUGGGCAGGUUGAAGGUUGGGUAACACUAACUGGAGGACCGAACCGACUAAUGUUGAAAAAUUAGCGGAUGACCUGUGGCUGGGGGUGAAAGGCCAAUCAAACCGGGAGAUAGCUGGUUCUCCCCGAAAGCUAUUUAGGUAGCGCCUCGUGAAUUCAUCUCCGGGGGUAGAGCACUGUUUCGGCUAGGGGGCCAUCCCGGCUUACCAACCCGAUGCAAACUGCGAAUACCGGAGAAUGUUAUCACGGGAGACACACGGCGGGUGCUAACGUCCGUCGUGAAGAGGGAAACAACCCAGACCGCCAGCUAAGGUCCCAAAGUCAUGGUUAAGUGGGAAACGAUGUGGGAAGGCCCAGACAGCCAGGAUGUUGGCUUAGAAGCAGCCAUCAUUUAAAGAAAGCGUAAUAGCUCACUGGUCGAGUCGGCCUGCGCGGAAGAUGUAACGGGGCUAAACCAUGCACCGAAGCUGCGGCAGCGAACGUAUCACUUAAAGCGAUUCAGCGGGUUACGAUUGACGGAGCGAAGCGACGUCAAAGCGUAUACAAAGUCGAGUCGGUUUAAGGAUACGUUCGUUGGGUAGGGGAGCGUUCUGUAAGCCUGUGAAGGUGGCCUGUGAGGGUUGCUGGAGGUAUCAGAAGUGCGAAUGCUGACAUAAGUAACGAUAAAGCGGGUGAAAAGCCCGCUCGCCGGAAGACCAAGGGUUCCUGUCCAACGUUAAUCGGGGCAGGGUGAGUCGACCCCUAAGGCGAGGCCGAAAGGCGUAGUCGAUGGGAAACAGGUUAAUAUUCCUGUACUUGGUGUUACUGCGAAGGGGGGACGGAGAAGGCUAUGUUGGCCGGGCGACGGUUGUCCCGGUUUAAGCGUGUAGGCUGGUUUUCCAGGCAAAUCCGGAAAAUCAAGGCUGAGGCGUGAUGACGA